GGGGAAGAAAACAAGAGAGAAAAAUGCAGUCAGAUUUUUGGGUCAGGAUACAAGUUAAAAUGAUAGUUAUAGGCAUUACACUUAACGCCAGGUUGAAAUGUUGAAUACCAGUUGUCUCCAAUUCAGAAAUAGCAGCUUUAGGUGGUUGUUUCUGCUGUCAUUUAGCAGCAUCGUCAUUGGUACAGUCGUGAUCCAGCUUCCAGAUCAAGCUUUAAUUUAGGCUUUUCUCCAAUUACCUUUAUCUUC
This 246-nucleotide unclassified non-coding RNA is filed under the name Hevea brasiliensis (rubber tree). The record is from RNAcentral. Lineage: Eukaryota; Viridiplantae; Streptophyta; Magnoliopsida; Malpighiales; Euphorbiaceae.